GGGGGCGAAUUGGAUUCGACCUGUUAGGUAGGUCCCAGGUGGCAUGCCGAGGGUGAUGCGCUGGCCUCGUAAAAAAGCGCAUCAAAAAAGAAGUGCCAACGCUGAAUUGGCCCUCGCGGCUUAACGUGACCGCGACGCUCACCAGGUGACGCCUGCUAGGCUGGCUGGGCGACGGCAGCAGGCUGGGGCUGCGACGCUGCUCGCACGUCAAGGCCCGAGAUACCACUGCGAGCUGGGUCAGUGGAUUCGCCGCCGGAGCGUUAUCCAGCUGGCCGACAAAAAUCUACUCCGGCUAAGCAUGUAGGCACCUGUGGCUGAUCUAGCAGGGACGUG
This 333-nucleotide transfer-messenger RNA is filed under the name Limisphaerales bacterium. Its description in RNAcentral is "Verrucomicrobia subdivision 3 bacterium (hot springs metagenome) partial transfer-messenger RNA". It matches the Rfam family "transfer-messenger RNA". Rfam says of the family: Bacterial tmRNA, also known as 10Sa RNA or SsrA, is named for its dual tRNA and mRNA-like properties. Its role is to liberate the mRNA from a stalled ribosome. The record is from RNAcentral. Lineage: Bacteria; Pseudomonadati; Verrucomicrobiota; Verrucomicrobiia; Limisphaerales.